RNAcentral lists this ribosomal RNA (1471 nucleotides) under Leptolyngbya laminosa SERB 38. RNAcentral's name for it is "bacterial SSU rRNA". It matches the Rfam family "Bacterial small subunit ribosomal RNA". The record is from RNAcentral. Lineage: Bacteria; Bacillati; Cyanobacteriota; Cyanophyceae; Leptolyngbyales; Leptolyngbyaceae.
UGGGGGUCUGCUUUACACAUGCAAGUCGAACGGAGUAGCAAUACUUUUUGGGGGACGGGUGAGUAACGCGUGAGAAUCUACCUUCAGGACGGAGACAACAGUUUGAAACGACUGCUAACCCCCGAUGUACCGAAAGGGGAAAUAUUUUUAGCCUGAAGAAGAGCUCGCGUCCGAUUUUCUAGUUUGAGAGGUAAAAGCUCACCAAGGGGACGAUCGGUAGCUGGUCUGAGAGGACGAUCAGCCACACUGGGACUGAGACACGGGCCAGACUCCUACGGGAGGGAGCAGUGGGGAAUUUUCCGCAAUGGGGGAAAGCCUGACGGAGCAAGACCGCGUGGGGGAAGAAGGGUCUUUGGUUUUAAACCCCUUUUCUCUGGGAAGAACGCAAUGACGGUACCAGAGGAAUCAGCAUCGGGUAACUCCGUGCCAGCAGCCGCGGUAAGACGGAGGAUGCAAGCGUUAUCCGGAAUGAUUUGGGGUAAAGCGUCCGCAGGUGGGAGUUCAAGUCUGCUGUCAAAAAGCCGGGGGUCAACCUCGGAAAGGGAGUGGAAACUGAACAGCUAGAGUAUGGUAGGGGGAAAGGGAAUUUCCUGGUGUAGCGGUGAAAUGCGUAGAGAUCAGGAAGAACAUCGGUGGGGAAGGGGCUUUUCUGGACCAUAACUGACACUCAGGGACGAAAGCUAGGGGAGCGAAUGGGAUUUUAUACCCCAGUAGUCCUAGCCGUAAACGAUGGAUACUAGGUGUUUUCUGUAUCGACCCGGACAGUGCCGUAGCUAACGCGUUUAGUAUCCCGCCUGGGGAGUACGCACGCAAGUGUGAAACUCAAAGGAAUUUACGGGGGGCCGCACAAGCGGUGGAGUAUGUGGUUUUAUUCGAUGCAACGCGAAGAACCUUUCCAGGACUUUACAUGUCGCGAAUCCUUCUGAAAGGAAGGAGUGCCUUUUGGAGCGCGAACACAGGUGGUGCAUGGGUGUCGUCAGCUCGUGUCGUGAGAUGUUUGGUUUAGUCCCGCAACGAGCGCAACUCGUGUUUUUUUUCCAUCAUUUAGUUUGGGACUCUAAACAGACUGCCGGUGACAAACCGGAGGAAGGUGGGGAUGACGUCAAGUCAGCAUGCCCCUUUCGUCCUGGGGUACACACGUACUACAAUGGUAGGGACAAAGGGGAGCCAACCCGCGAGGGGGAGCUAAUCCCGUAAACCCUGCCUCAGUUCAGAUUUCAGGGUGCAACUCGCCUGCAUGAAGGGGGAAUCGCUAGUAAUCGCAGGUCAGCAUACUGCGGUGAAUCCGUUCCCGGGGCUUUUACACACCGCCCGUCACACCAUGGAAGUUUGGCACGCCCGAAGUCAUUUCUCUAACCUUUCGAGGAGGAGGAUGCCGAAGGGAGGGGUGAUGACUGGGGUGAAGUCGUAACAAGGUAGCCGUACCGGAAGGUGUGGGUGGAUCACCUCCUUUUUUGGAGACCAAUCGAUU